Molecule: ribosomal RNA, 119 nt
Filed under: Anneissia japonica
Lineage: Eukaryota; Metazoa; Echinodermata; Crinoidea; Comatulida; Comatulidae
Source: RNAcentral
GUCUACGGCCAUACUACCUUCAAAACACCGGUUCUCUUCCGAUCACCGAAGUUAAGCAACGUCGGGUCUGGUUAGUACUUGGAUGGGAGACCGCUUGGGAAUACCGGGGGCUGUAGACA